GCCGGGCAUGGUGGCGCAUGCCUGUAAUCCCAGCACUUUGGGAGGCUGAGGCAGGCGGAUCACUUGAGUCUAGGAGUUCAAGACCAGCCUGUGCAAUAUGGCAAAACCCCAUCUCUACAAAAAAAAAACAAAAUACAAAAAUUAGCUGGGCGUGGUGGCUCAUGCCUUCAGUACCAGCUACUCUGGAGGCUGAGGUGGGAGGAUCGCUUGAGCCUGGGAGGUUGAGGCUGUGGUGAGCCAUGAUCAUGCCACUGUACUCCAGCCUGGGCAACAGAAUGAGAGCCUGUCUCA
This 291-nucleotide small RNA is filed under the name Pan troglodytes (chimpanzee). RNAcentral describes it as "Metazoan signal recognition particle RNA (ENSPTRG00000043982.1)". The record is from RNAcentral. Lineage: Eukaryota; Metazoa; Chordata; Mammalia; Primates; Hominidae.